AUGAACGCUGGCGGCGUGGAUAAGGCAUGCAAGUCGAACGCUCUGUAGCAAUACAGGGAGUGGCGAACGAGUCAGUAAUACCCUGGUUACGUACCCCGAAGUGGAGCAUAGCUAGCCGAAAGGUUAGGUAAUUCUCCAUGUGCUCGCAAGAGUAAAGUCCAAAAGACGCUUUGGGAUCGGCCUAGGUCCGAUCAGCUUGUUGGUGAGGUAAUGGCUCACCAAGGCUACGACCGGUAGGGGUGCUGAGAGGCAGUUCCCCGACGACGAGACUGAGACACGGCUCGUACACCUACGGGUGGCAGCAGUCGAGAAUAUUCCACAAUGGGCGAAAGCCUGAUGGAGCGACGCCGCGUGCAGGAAGAAGGUUUUCGGAUUGUAAACUGCUUUUCUAUCUGAAAAAGUUGCAAAACUGAUGUUAAGGUAGGAAUAAGAGGUUGCUAACUCUGU
Molecule: ribosomal RNA, 447 nt
Filed under: uncultured bacterium
Lineage: Bacteria
Description: bacterial SSU rRNA
Rfam family: Bacterial small subunit ribosomal RNA
Source: RNAcentral